Molecule: ribosomal RNA, 897 nt
Filed under: uncultured bacterium
Lineage: Bacteria
Description: bacterial SSU rRNA
Rfam family: Bacterial small subunit ribosomal RNA
Source: RNAcentral
AGAGUUUGAUGGUGGCUCAGAAUCAACGCUGGCGGCGUGCCUAACACAUGCAAGUCGAGCGAGAAAGGGAACUUCGGUUCCUGAGUACAGCGGCGCACGGGUGAGUAUCACGUGGGUAACCUGCCUCGGAGUGGGGAAUAACACCGGGAAACCGGUGCUAAUACCGCAUACGAUCACGGAGUCUUCGGAUUCCGUGAUGAAAGGAACUUUCGCUCUGAGAGGGGCCCGCGCCCGAUUAGCUAGUUGGUGAGGUAACGGCUCACCAAGGCCACGAUCGGUAGCCGGUCUGAGAGGACGGUCGGCCACACUGGAACUGAGACACGGUCCAGACUCCUACGGGAGGCAGCAGUGGGGAAUUUUUGACAAUGGGGGAAACCCUGAUCAAGCAACGCCGCGUGGAUGAUGAAGUAUCUCGGUACGUAAAAUCCUUUCGACAGGGAAGAAGCCUUCGGGUUGACGGUACCUGUAGAAGAAGCCCCGGCUAACUCCGUGCCAGCAGCCGCGGUAAUACGGGGGGGGCAAGCGUUGUUCGGAUUUACUGGGCGUAAAGGGCGCGUAGGCGGUUCGUUAAGUCGGAUGUGAAAACUCUGGGCUCAACCCAGAGCCUGCAUCCGAUACUGGCGGACUAGAGUGCGAGAGGGGAAAGCGGAAUUCCUGGUGUAGCGGUGAAAUGCGUAGAUAUCAGGAGGAACACCUGCGGCGAAGGCGGCUUUCUGGAUCGCAACUGACGCUGAGGCGCGAAAGCUAGGGGAGCAAACAGGAUUAGAUACCCUGGUAGUCCUAGCCCUAAACGAUGGAUACUUGGUGUGGGAGGGGGUUGAAUCCUUCCGUGCCGGAGCUAACGCGUUAAGUAUCCCGCCUGGGGGAGUACGGUCGCAAGGCUGAAACUCAAAGGAA